GCGACCUCGGAAGCAUUGUGCUGAGUGACAUAAGCCAGAAACAAAAGGACAAAUGUUGUAUGAUUCUACUUGCAUCAGAUAUCUAGAAGAGCCUAAUUCACAGACAGAAAGUACAUUCUAGGGUCUCACUCUGUCACCCAGGCAAUGGCACGAUCUCGGCUCACUGCAGCCUCGACCUCCCGGGCUCAAGCCAUCCUCCCACCUUGGCCUCCCAAAGGGCUGGGAUUACAGGCAUGAGCCACCGUGCCUGGCCAAAUCCAACAAUUUAUUUUAAAAAGAUAAUACUGUACACCAUGAUCAAGUGGGAUAUUUCCCAGGACUGAAAGAUUGGUUUAACAGCCAGAACUCAAUUAAUGUAAUAAAUCAUAUUAAUAAAAUAAAGGACAAAAGCCACAUGAUCAUCCCAACUGAUAUAGAAAAUCCAUUUGACAAAAUCUGACACCCAUUUAUAAUUAAAAAAAAACUUUCAACAAACCAGAAAUGAGAGUGAACCUCCUCAACCUAGCAAUGGAAUCUAUGGAAACCUACAGCACGCUUCCUGGGGAAAGCCUGACCGUCUCGAAUCUAUGGAAACCUACAGCACGCUUCCUGGGGAAAGCCUGACCGUCUCCCCACGGAAGGGAGCAAGUCAAGGGGACCCUCCCCUCCCGCUCCUCCCACACUGCACAGCGGGUUCCAGCCAGGGCAGUGAGGCAAGAACAUGGAACUCAAAUCACCGAGAUUAGCAAAAAAGAUGUAGAAGUACGCCUCACGCCGUAGGUGGAAUCGCCUAAGGAAUCUACAAAGAUAAAAUAAAAUGAAGUAAAACCUGAUAAGAUGAUCGAAGGAGUUUAACAAGAUCAUGGGGCGUAGGAUAUUUCUGCACUGACAGUGAACACCCCAAGAUGAAAUGCAGAAAGCGUCCUGGUCAAAUAGCAUCAGAAAGAAUAAGCUACUUAGGAAUAAUUUCGCAAAGGAAGUGUGAGACUUGUACGCUGCAAACUGCGAAACAUGGCUGGUAAAAAGACCCAAAGAAAACCUGAACAGAUGGAGAGACUUCCCACAUCGAGGCUGAAAGGCUGAACCCUGCGCAGACGGCGGGGCUCCCGCGGUGCUCCGUGUGGCCUUCAUCCCCCUCUGGCCGUGUUCCCUCCCCGGCUCAGAGCCACUCCUCCUAGUUACCACCCUCGGCCCUCCCUCUGCAAGCCCAGGAUGCCCGGGCCACAGGCCGGUGAGCUGGGGAUCCAGCCUCUCCUGGCGUUUUACCCACGUAGGUGACAACUGACGGCACUGGAGCAGAGAGGCUGACUGCCCGAGGAGACCAGGGAGGCUUGGACCCCAGGCUGGAGGGGGCCGGGGACCCAGACCCACUCACUUGAUUUGGAAGGACACAGGGCUGUCAAACCUAUGCAGGGUCAUCACACCCGGCCCUUCGUUUGUCCCUUUUCGGCCAAGCUCAGGACCCUGUAACCCAGGAAGACAAGCUCGUGGUUCUGAGAUGACCCAGGGAAUUGGCCAAUCCCACCCGAAACCCUUGUUCCUUCCUCUGGUCAUUGACGUUCCUCCCAGACGGCUUCGAGAGCCCCGCAGAUCCUUCCACUACUCCCCAGCCUAGAAGAUCCAGGGACAGAAGCCCUCGAGGUUCUGGCUGGGCCCACGUGCUGAGAUGCCUCUGAGAAAGCUGUCUUUCCAUGGUGGAUCCCGCUGGAUGCCCGUGAACACGGGGCCAGCUUGCAGAGAGCUGGAAGGAGGCCUCCUGGCGGCACCCAGGCCUGACACAGAUUUCAUUUCUGAUUGCGGAAUUUUACUCUCAAACCAAAAGAUGCUACAUGCCGCUCCUGACGCCGUGGCACGGAAUCACGCUGCGCGUCCCUUGUUUCCGGAUUUCUCUUCUGUGGCUUAUUGAUGGCACUCAAGCACCGCACAGCAAUGACGUCUGUCCUGGCAGGGCACACGCACUCUGCGUCUGAAUGAGUAUUGAGCUAAUUCCAAAGCCCAGCAGAGACGUGGGCGCGCGUUUAUCUGGAGGAGACCAGGCGCGCCAUGGUUGGCUCUGGCCGCGGGACCCUGGGCUGAGCACCGACCCAGGCCACCCCAAGUCACCAAAAGAGGGUAGGGAGGGGUGGACAAAAGUAUUUAUUUUGCCUAUUUUCUUGCCAGUGUCCAGAUUCAAAUGUACUGUUUUUAAACUACAUUAGCACUUUCUGCCCUGUGGCCUGCAAUGAUUGUGCUGUGAUUA
Molecule: long non-coding RNA, 2218 nt
Filed under: Homo sapiens (human)
Lineage: Eukaryota; Metazoa; Chordata; Mammalia; Primates; Hominidae
Description: non-protein coding LINC00029:1
Source: RNAcentral